Molecule: ribosomal RNA, 204 nt
Filed under: Pomeranzevia ninnii
Lineage: Eukaryota; Metazoa; Arthropoda; Arachnida; Sarcoptiformes; Avenzoariidae
Description: partial 16S ribosomal RNA
Source: RNAcentral
UAUGAAUGAAUUUACUGAGGUAAUUUUUUUAGUUUUUUCUUAAUUUAUAUUUUUGAUGAAAAUAACAAAAAUUUUUCUAAGACUAAAAGACCCUAAAAUUUUUAUAACGGUUGUUAUUUGAUUGGGGAAAUAAAAAACAAAAUAUUAUGAUUUUUUUUUAUGGAUGAACUUUUAUUAAAGAUGAGAUUGUAAAAUACUCUAGGG